AGAGUUUUUAACUCUAGUGGCGACGGGUGAGUAACACGUGAGAAUUUGCCUUUAGAGGGGGAUAACAAUUGGAAACGAAUGCUAAUACCCCAUAUGCUUUUGAGUGAAAUGGAUUUUAUCCGCCUAGAGAGAAGCUCGCGGCUGAUUAGCUUGUUGGUAAGGUAAGAGCUUACCCAAGGCGACGAUCAGUAUCUGGUUUGAGAGGACGAUCAGACACACUGGAACUGAGACACGGUCCAGACUCCUACGGGAGGCAGCAGUGGGGAAUUUCCGCAAUGGGCGAAAGCCUGACGGAGCAAUACCGCGUGAGGGAAGAAUGCCUAUGGGUUGUAAACCUCUUUUUUCAGGGAGGAAUAAAAUGACGUGUACCUGAAGAAUAAGCAUCGGCUAACUCCGUG
RNAcentral lists this ribosomal RNA (398 nucleotides) under uncultured bacterium. Its description in RNAcentral is "bacterial SSU rRNA". It matches the Rfam family "Bacterial small subunit ribosomal RNA", at positions 72 to 507 of the family's 1533-position model. The record is from RNAcentral.